Molecule: long non-coding RNA, 463 nt
Organism: Myotis daubentonii (Daubenton's bat)
Lineage: Eukaryota; Metazoa; Chordata; Mammalia; Chiroptera; Vespertilionidae
Exons: 2
Source: RefSeq, a predicted model, not a curated record
AAUAUUUCAUAAAUUGGAAAUAUGCGAUGUGUGGUCUUUGUUCACUGAGUAUAAUGUUUUCAAGGUUCAUCCACAUCAUAGUGAGUAUCAGUGCUUUGAUCCUCUGUUAUGGCUGCAUAGUAUUCCAUUGUGUGGAAGGACCACAUUUGUGUAUCCAUUCAUCUGCUGAUGUGCAUUAAGUUGCUUCCAACUCUUGGCAACUGGGCAUCAUGCUGCUGUGAGCCUGCAUGCACGUAUAUUUGUCAGGGUACCAGACCUCCAGACGUUGGGAGAUCACAUGGAAUACAACUGAAGCUUUAUUGGGGUGUGCUGGAGGGGGGCUCAGUUGGGACAGCCAAAGACGAUCAUGCUCUCUCUGAAGCUGGCCAGGUCCCUGCACAGCUUCUUGUUCUCAUCAUCUUGGCAUUCGUCCGCUUCAGGCCACAGCUCUACCCAGGUGUCCUUCCCGAUGAUGUACUUGAUG